GAUGAACGCUGGCGGCGUGCCUAAUACAUGCAAGUCGAGCGAACGGACGAGAAGCUUGCUUCUCUGAUUUUAGCGGCGGACGGGUGAGUAACACGUGGAUAACCUACCUAUAAGACUGGGAUAACUUCGGGAAACCGGAGCUAAUACCGGAUAAUAUUUUGAACCGCAUGGUUCAAAAGUGAAAGACGGUCUUGCUGUCACUUAUAGAUGGAUCCGCGCUGCAUUAGCUAGUUGGUAAGGUAACGGCUUACCAAGGCAACGAUGCAUAGCCGACCUGAGAGGGUGAUCGGCCACACUGGAACUGAGACACGGUCCAGACUCCUACGGGAGGCAGCAGUAGGGAAUCUUCCACAAUGGGCGAAAGCCUGACGGAGCAACGCCGCGUGAGUGAUGAAGGUCUUCGGAUCGUAAAACUCUGUUAUUAGGGAAGAACAUAUGUGUAAGUAACUGUGCACAUCUUGACGGUACCUAAUCAGAAAGCCACGGCUAACUACGUG
RNAcentral lists this ribosomal RNA (497 nucleotides) under uncultured bacterium. RNAcentral's name for it is "partial 16S ribosomal RNA". It matches the Rfam family "Bacterial small subunit ribosomal RNA", at positions 28 to 507 of the family's 1533-position model. The record is from RNAcentral.